UGCAGUCGAACGCCCCGCAAGGGGAGUGGCAGACGGGUGAGUAACGCGUGGGAAUCUACCGUGCCCUGCGGAAUAGCUCCGGGAAACUGGAAUUAAUACCGCAUACGCCCUACGGGGGAAAGAUUUAUCGGGGUAUGAUGAGCCCGCGUUGGAUUAGCUAGUUGGUGGGGUAAAGGCCUACCAAGGCGACGAUCCAUAGCUGGUCUGAGAGGAUGAUCAGCCACAUUGGGACUGAGACACGGCCCAAACUCCUACGGGAGGCAGCAGUGGGGAAUAUUGGACAAUGGGCGCAAGCCUGAUCCAGCCAUGCCGCGUGAGUGAUGAAGGCCUUAGGGUUGUAAAGCUCUUUCACCGGAGAAGAUAAUGACGGUAUCCGGAGAAGAAGCCCCGGCUAACUUCGUGCCAGCA
RNAcentral lists this ribosomal RNA (408 nucleotides) under Rhizobiaceae bacterium. Its description in RNAcentral is "bacterial SSU rRNA". It matches the Rfam family "Bacterial small subunit ribosomal RNA", at positions 56 to 513 of the family's 1533-position model. Lineage: Bacteria; Pseudomonadati; Pseudomonadota; Alphaproteobacteria; Hyphomicrobiales; Rhizobiaceae. The record is from RNAcentral.